Molecule: ribosomal RNA, 253 nt
Filed under: uncultured bacterium
Lineage: Bacteria
Description: partial 16S ribosomal RNA
Rfam family: Bacterial small subunit ribosomal RNA
Source: RNAcentral
UACGUAGGGGGCAAGCGUUGUCCGGAGUUACUGGGCGUAAAGCGCACGCAGGCGGUCUCUUAAGUUUGGAGUGACAGUUGGUGGCUUAACUGCCAAAGUGCUUCGAAAGCUGAGAGACUUGAGGGCUUCAGAGGGACACGGAAUUCCGGGUGGAGUGGUGAAAUGCGUAGAGAUCCGGAGGAACACCAAAGGCGAAGGCAGUGUCCUGGGGAGUACCUGACGCUCAGGUGCGAAAGCCAGGGGAGCGAACGGG